RNAcentral lists this transfer RNA (104 nucleotides) under Pseudomonas putida. RNAcentral describes it as "tRNA-Arg". The record is from RNAcentral. Lineage: Bacteria; Pseudomonadati; Pseudomonadota; Gammaproteobacteria; Pseudomonadales; Pseudomonadaceae.
UUGAGGGCGUAGCGGGCAUUGCUCAGCGGCACGACCAGUUGCGGGCCGGCUUGUACGGCGAUCUCGCGGUCGACGUUGUGGGUGCUGAUUUGCACGUCUUCGGG